RNAcentral lists this ribosomal RNA (253 nucleotides) under uncultured bacterium. RNAcentral describes it as "partial 16S ribosomal RNA". It matches the Rfam family "Bacterial small subunit ribosomal RNA", at positions 524 to 776 of the family's 1533-position model. The record is from RNAcentral.
UCCGAAGGGGGCUAGCGUUGCUCGGAAUUACUGGGCGUAAAGCGCGCGUAGGCGGUGCGAUAAGCUAGGGGUGAAAUCCCAGGGCUCAACCCCGGAAUUGCCUUUAGAACUGUCGUGCUGGAGUCUCGAAGGGGAUAGCGGAAUUCCAAAUGUAGAGGUGAAAUUCGUAGAUAUUUGGAGGAACACCGGUGGCGAAGGCGGCUAUCUGGUCGAGUACUGACGCUGAGGCGCGAAAGCGUGGGGAUAAAACAGG